GACGAACGCUGGCGGCGUGCCUAAUACAUGCAAGUUGAGCGCUGAAGGUUGGUACUUGUACCAACUGGAUGAGCAGCGAACGGGUGAGUAACGCGUGGGGAAUCUGCCUUUGAGCGGGGGACAACAUUUGGAAACGAAUGCUAAUACCGCAUAAAAACUUUAAACACAAGUUUUAAGUUUGAAAGAUGCAAUUGCAUCACUCAAAGAUGAUCCCGCGUUGUAUUAGCUAGUUGGUGAGGUAAAGGCUCACCAAGGCGAUGAUACAUAGCCGACCUGAGAGGGUGAUCGGCCACAUUGGGACUGAGACACGGCCCAAACUCCUACGGGAGGCAGCAGUAGGGAAUCUUCGGCAAUGGACGAAAGUCUGACCGAGCAACGCCGCGUGAGUGAAGAGGGGUUUCGGAUCGUAAAACUCUGUUGGUAGAGAAGAACGUUGGUGAGAGUGGAAAGCUCAUCAAGUGACGGUAACUACCCAGAAAGGGACGGCUAACUACGUG
RNAcentral lists this ribosomal RNA (497 nucleotides) under uncultured bacterium. Its description in RNAcentral is "partial 16S ribosomal RNA". It matches the Rfam family "Bacterial small subunit ribosomal RNA", at positions 28 to 507 of the family's 1533-position model. The record is from RNAcentral.